Molecule: ribosomal RNA, 429 nt
Filed under: Chloroflexota bacterium
Lineage: Bacteria; Bacillati; Chloroflexota
Description: Chloroflexi bacterium partial 16S ribosomal RNA
Rfam family: Bacterial small subunit ribosomal RNA
Source: RNAcentral
UGGGGAAUAUUGCACAAUGGGCGCAAGCCUGAUGCAGCCAUGCCGCGUGUAUGAAGAAGGCCUUCGGGUUGUAAAGUACUUUCAGCGGGGAGGAAGGGAGUAAAGUUAAUACCUUUGCUCAUUGACGUUACCCGCAGAAGAAGCACCGGCUAACUCCGUGCCAGCAGCCGCGGUAAUACGGAGGGUGCAAGCGUUAAUCGGAAUUACUGGGCGUAAAGCGCACGCAGGCGGUUUGUUAAGUCAGAUGUGAAAUCCCCGGGCUCAACCUGGGAACGGAAUCUGAUACUGGCAAGCUUGAGUCUCGUAGAGGGGGGUAGAAUUCCAGGUGUAGCGGUGAAAUGCGUAGAGAUCUGGAGGAAUACCGAUGGCGAAGGCGGCCCCCUGGACAAAGACUGACGCUCAGGUGCGAAAGCGUGGGGAGCAAGCAAG